AAGCUCGUAGUUGAAUUUCGGGAUCAAUGUUUCGGUCAUGCCGUUGGUAUGUACUGAUAUUAUUGACUUCUCACCUUCAAAAGAACCGUAAUGCCAUUAAUUUGGUGUCACGGGGAAUUAGGACUGUUACCUUGAAAAAAUUAGAGUGUUUAAAGCAGGCUCACGCUUGAAUACAUUAGCAUGGAAUAAUGAAAUAGGACAUCCGAUUCUAUUUUGUUGGUUUCUAGGAUCGAUGUAAUGAUUAAUAGGGAUAGUUGGG
This 259-nucleotide ribosomal RNA is filed under the name uncultured Glomus. Its description in RNAcentral is "partial 18S ribosomal RNA". It matches the Rfam family "Eukaryotic small subunit ribosomal RNA", at positions 624 to 886 of the family's 1831-position model. Lineage: Eukaryota; Fungi; Glomeromycota; Glomeromycetes; Glomerales; Glomeraceae. The record is from RNAcentral.